CAUCAAAGUGACUGCAGCUCAGUACCUGGCCUUCGAGAAAGACAUAGAUGUUUAUUUUCCCUUCCCAGGGACGAAUACCUGAAGCAAUAGUCUCUUGAAAUAGUGCUGGUAGUUUGUUAUUCAUCGAAGCUCUUGUACUUCUGAGAACAUGGGGAAAACAUUGUGGCACUAAUUGAAUGAAUGCCUGCAGCAGGGCUGCUCAGCUGAUGGGCCCCAGCCUGGAUCUCCACCCAGCUUCAGGAGCAAGCCAGCAAAUGGAUGUGGUGUGAGUGGGGAGUGGUAACAGUAAGUGCCCAGCCAGAGUGCAGGGAUCGGCGGGCUGCCAACGUCUGCCUCGUCGUUGUAAACACACAAAGCCCCAAAAAGAAACUGAGCAAAUAUUUCCUAAGGUGUUUGUUUUUCUGUCUCUGGACAUGAAUCAACAGAAGAGCAUACACGAGAGCACACAGAUGGUUCCCUCUAGAUGAUACAUCUCGCAACAUAGGAGUGUUGAUUUGAUUUUUUAAGAUCAGGUGGUUUAUGAAUGUCACCAGAGUAAAAGUCUAACCCCUGCCAUAGGUCUCCUUUUCACACUGCAUUAGAGACUGGACGAUGGCUGUGUUGCCCUCACCAGCUGACUGCCUUUUUUUUGUAUUGACACAAAGGAG
Grus americana (Whooping crane) is the source of this 647-nucleotide long non-coding RNA. RefSeq lists it as uncharacterized. The transcript is spliced from 4 exons. Lineage: Eukaryota; Metazoa; Chordata; Aves; Gruiformes; Gruidae. The record is from RefSeq and is a predicted model, not a curated record.